This 253-nucleotide ribosomal RNA is filed under the name uncultured bacterium. RNAcentral's name for it is "partial 16S ribosomal RNA". It matches the Rfam family "Bacterial small subunit ribosomal RNA", at positions 524 to 776 of the family's 1533-position model. The record is from RNAcentral.
UACGUAGGGUGCGAGCGUUAAUCGGAAUUACUGGGCGUAAAGCGUGCGCAGGCGGUUCUCCAAGUCCGUUGUGAAAGCCCCGGGCUCAACCUGGGAAUGGCAGUGGAAACUGGAGGACUUGAAUUGAGCAGAGGGGGGUGGAAUGCCGCGUGUAGCAGUGAAAUGCGUAGAGAUGCGGCGGAACACCGAUGGCGAAGGCAGCCCCCUGGGCUUAAAUUGACGCUGAGGCACGAAAGCGUGGGGAGCAAACAGG